This 424-nucleotide ribosomal RNA is filed under the name uncultured bacterium. RNAcentral describes it as "partial 16S ribosomal RNA". It matches the Rfam family "Bacterial small subunit ribosomal RNA", at positions 354 to 796 of the family's 1533-position model. The record is from RNAcentral.
GUGGGGAAUCUUAGACAAUGGGCGCAAGCCUGAUCUAGCCAUGCCGCGUGAGCGAUGAAGGCCUAGGGUUGUAAAGCUCUUUCAGUGGGGAAGAUAAUGACUGUACCCACAGAAGAAGCCCCGGCUAACUCCGUGCCAGCAGCCGCGGUAAUACGGAGGGGGCUAGCGUUGUUCGGAAUUACUGGGCGUAAAGCGCACGUAGGCGGACUGGAAAGUCAGGGGUGAAAUCCCGGGGCUCAACCCCGGAACUGCCUUUGAAACUCCCAGUCUUGAGGUCGAGAGAGGUGAGUGGAAUUCCGAGUGUAGAGGUGAAAUUCGUAGAUAUUCGGAGGAACACCAGUGGCGAAGGCGGCUCACUGGCUCGAUACUGACGCUGAGGUGCGAAAGCGUGGGGAGCAAACAGGAUUAGAAACCCGUGUAGUCC